ACCUCUCGAAUGGAUGUCGCGCGGUGGGUGGCCGCUUUUGAGUUUGCUUGCCUCGCCAUAAGCGUAGCAUUUUCUGAGCCGCACUGCCAGCCGAAGAUUCCUCUACCCGCUUUACGUGACCGAGGAAAUCCGAUGUAGUUGUACGAUGUGUAACAAUUCCACGCGCAAUACAGAUUCACGAAGAACGCCGUGCGGGAGCUGCUGGCUAUGUUGCCGCUCCGUGAAAGUGGGGACUACCGAAGACAGCCUGUGCCUCCAGUGUUACAGCUACUGAUGACUCUCAGGUUUUACAGCGCUGGCACAUUCCAAACAGUCACCGGGGAUCUCGUCCGCAUUCCGUAGUCGACAGUGUGCCGUGCAGUCGGAAAAGUUACGCUUCUCAUCGCAAAGCACCUGUACGCGAUGCUUGUGCGCUUUCCGCACGUGGUGGCACUUUCUAUGAAGUGGCUGAGUUCCCUGGUGUUAUAGGUUCUGCCAACUAAAUACAUAUGCUCGAUGAAAACGCCCGAUUUAUAAAAGCUAUUAUUCGCUGUCAAAACGAAGGGGACGCUUUGAAGUGUUCGAGGUAUAAAGCGCUUUUCUACAGAAAUUUAGUCGUCUUGGCAAAUUUAGGAAGAUCAUGUAAAAGGACAAUUCCACCAGAGAAAUAUCCUGCGUAACCUACUCUCCCAGACAUCCCUGGACGUCGCUGGUCUUGUAGGGCAGGCAUCUCUUGU
This is a long non-coding RNA of Rhipicephalus microplus (southern cattle tick), 716 nucleotides long. NCBI's taxonomy places the organism in Eukaryota, Metazoa, Arthropoda, Arachnida, Ixodida, Ixodidae. The record is from RefSeq and is a predicted model, not a curated record.